GCGCGGGUGGUGAAAUGGCAGACACGCUACUUUGAGGGGGUAGUGCUGCAAGGCGUGAGGGUUCAACUCCCUCCCCGCGCACCA
RNAcentral lists this transfer RNA (84 nucleotides) under Candidatus Omnitrophota bacterium. RNAcentral's name for it is "tRNA-Leu". It matches the Rfam family "tRNA". From Rfam's summary of the family: Transfer RNA (tRNA) molecules are approximately 80 nucleotides in length. Their secondary structure includes four short double-helical elements and three loops (D, anti-codon, and T loops). The record is from RNAcentral. Lineage: Bacteria; Pseudomonadati; Candidatus Omnitrophota.